AAAAACAUGUCCUUUUGCUUGUUUAUUUAAGGUCUGACCUGCCCAAUGAGGAAUUGAAUGGCCGCAGUAUUCUAACUGUGCUAAGGUAGCAUAAUCAUUUGUCUUUUAAUUGAGGGCUGGAAUGAAGGGUUGGACGAGGUAUUAACUUUCUUUAAUUUAAUUUUAAGAAUUUAAUUUUUGAGUUAAAAAGCUUAAAUUUAUUUAUGGGACGAGAAGACCCUAUAGAUCUUUAUAGUUUUAUAUUUUGGUAAUUUGGAGAUUUAUUUACUUUAAGUAGACUAACUAUUUUGUUGGGGUGACUGUAGAAUUUGAAUAACUUCUAUUUUUUAUUUUCAUUAAUUAGUGUUUUUUUGAUCCAUAUUUUAUGAUUAGAAGAUUAAGUUACUUUAGGGAUAACAGC
This 400-nucleotide ribosomal RNA is filed under the name Triatoma juazeirensis. RNAcentral describes it as "partial 16S ribosomal RNA". Lineage: Eukaryota; Metazoa; Arthropoda; Insecta; Hemiptera; Reduviidae. The record is from RNAcentral.